This 657-nucleotide ribosomal RNA is filed under the name Lactobacillus gasseri. RNAcentral's name for it is "bacterial SSU rRNA". It matches the Rfam family "Bacterial small subunit ribosomal RNA", at positions 57 to 675 of the family's 1533-position model. Lineage: Bacteria; Bacillati; Bacillota; Bacilli; Lactobacillales; Lactobacillaceae. The record is from RNAcentral.
GCAGUCGAGCGAGCUUGCCUAGAUGAAUUUGGUGCUUGCACCAAAUGAAACUAGAUACAAGCGAGCGGCGGACGGGUGAGUAACACGUGGGUAACCUGCCCAAGAGACUGGGAUAACACCUGGAAACAGAUGCUAAUACCGGAUAACAACACUAGACGCAUGUCUAGAGUUUAAAAGAUGGUUCUGCUAUCACUCUUGGAUGGACCUGCGGUGCAUUAGCUAGUUGGUAAGGUAACGGCUUACCAAGGCAAUGAUGCAUAGCCGAGUUGAGAGACUGAUCGGCCACAUUGGGACUGAGACACGGCCCAAACUCCUACGGGAGGCAGCAGUAGGGAAUCUUCCACAAUGGACGCAAGUCUGAUGGAGCAACGCCGCGUGAGUGAAGAAGGGUUUCGGCUCGUAAAGCUCUGUUGGUAGUGAAGAAAGAUAGAGGUAGUAACUGGCCUUUAUUUGACGGUAAUUACUUAGAAAGUCACGGCUAACUACGUGCCAGCAGCCGCGGUAAUACGUAGGUGGCAAGCGUUGUCCGGAUUUAUUGGGCGUAAAGCGAGUGCAGGCGGUUCAAUAAGUCUGAUGUGAAAGCCUUCGGCUCAACCGGAGAAUUGCAUCAAAAACUGUUGAACUUGAGUGCAGAAGAGGAGAGUGGAACUCCAUGUG